GAAUAAAACUUUGCAAUACAUGCAAUUAAAUUAAUGUUGCCAAUGUAGCUGAGAUAUACAGCAUUUAGUUAGUCUGAAGUAAACUACUCCGAAGUUUCUAGUUUCAAAUACCGUCGUUAUGGCUUAUUCAUGGGAUAACCGUGUAGAUUUCGUUGUUCGGUAUAUGUAU
Long non-coding RNA from Drosophila serrata, 169 nucleotides. Lineage: Eukaryota; Metazoa; Arthropoda; Insecta; Diptera; Drosophilidae. The record is from RefSeq and is a predicted model, not a curated record.